CGUUGUUACACCAGUUCCCGUACGAUCAUCGAAGUUAAGCAACGUCGAGCCUGGUCAGUACGGAGUGAGCGCUUCGGAAUACCAGCUGGUGUAA
Molecule: non-coding RNA, 94 nt
Organism: Acanthosepion pharaonis
Lineage: Eukaryota; Metazoa; Mollusca; Cephalopoda; Sepiida; Sepiidae
Source: the annotation of a GenBank genome assembly